Long non-coding RNA from Lutra lutra (Eurasian river otter), 719 nucleotides. RefSeq lists it as uncharacterized. The record is from RefSeq and is a predicted model, not a curated record. The transcript has 3 exons. NCBI's taxonomy places the organism in Eukaryota, Metazoa, Chordata, Mammalia, Carnivora, Mustelidae.
GCCGGCCGGGCCGCGGAAGGGGCGGGGCGCGCGGGCGGGGUCCCUAACGCCUGGCGAGGGGGGUCUCUAACCCAGGACCCCAAGCUGGCCGCAAGCAAGCCCAGGGCCCAGAACUGAGCCAAGCGUUCUUUCCAGCUGCGACGGUUGACGACCGGAAAACCGAUGACAACCCGUGGCCACCGAAGGUGGCGGUGGCGAUCGUCGCACGUCGUCGUGGUGUGCCUGGCGGUGAAGACAGCGGGAUUCGGAGUCCAAGGAUCUGCGCGGCUGGGUCUACCUCACGGAUUUCUCCUUGAGCGGAGUGGGGCGAAUGAGAAAAGCCCCCUUCGGCCGCCUGCAGGCCCAACGGGAGGUGGAAGACUGGCCAGGAGCGCAAUCAGCAUUUAUUGGCCACCAUGAACAACCCAUCCACUGGCCUGACUGGAAGCAGUGACACAGACCCACAAGAGCACAGGUGGAUUUCCUUGUGCAACAAAGUCGCUGGACACAAGAUUUGCACUUCGCAUAGUACUGAAAGGUUCUUAGUUAUUCUAAGUGAAAAUCAGAGCUCUGUUCAACUGAUUCUAAAAAUGAAAUCUAUGGAAAAAUAUCUUGUCUUUAAAAAUCUCCCAAAUAUGUAUACAUUGUAUACAUCUAUAGCUUAGACUUGCAUUACCUUUGGGUCUAAGGCUGGAUCACCUUCCGUAGAGAAACCUCUACAGAGUAAAAUCUCUUCCUCC